CUGAGGUGAGCAGAGACGCUCCUCUCUGCUGCUGACAUAACGGAUUUACUUCCUUUUCUGACGGUGAUUUAAUAUCUUUCUGCUGCAGCGUUGCCACGGUGACUCAUCCGUCUCCAUUCAGUCCUGUCCUCUGCUCCUUCUUCCCUGACUCCAUCCUGUCGUCACAUCCAGAUCCUCUAAGAGACUGUUCUCUUCCUGUUAACCAGUAGCUUCAGUUAUGUUGCAGUUGCAGCUAAUCUGGUUUAAUCUGACCUCCUUUAGUUGAUUUUUGUGUUCUUGUUUUAGCUUCAGAGUGGAUGAACUCACCUUGUGUCAUCAUGCUGUAGCAUCCAAGUUCAGUAAAACAUUAUAUUCGACCUAUAUGUAAAUUUCUGUCUAUCUGAGUUCAAAUAAACUGAUGGAUUAAAUGAAUCUGACCAGAAUAAUAGAGAUUGUAAUAAACUGAAAUGUGCAGGGACGUGUUUUACUGGUUAGAAAUGUUUGUUACCUCCAUCUUUAAGGUCAUUUUCUCUCCUUUGUGAUUUCUGUGUACAUUAUUCUCCUCUUCCUCUGUUCUCCUCCUCAGCUGUUCCACAUUCCCCUGAUUAACUCACCUGCAUUCAGACUCAUUCUCCACCCGGACCUUUACUAUUUAAGCUUUCCGGGUUUUAUUAUUUUUGCUCUCCUUUCCUCUGAUUGUGCUGCAUGUCCUCUUCUCCGCCUGCAUUUUCUGUAGGUAUUCUGUUUUAUUUUUUAUUAAUCUCCACCCUGAUCCUUCCAGACUUUCUUCUGAACAUACAUAAAAAACAAUACAUCUGCAGAUCUGUUAGUUCAUCUAAAUUCAAUAAAUGAUCAUAACUGACAGACCAAAACACAGAUUGAAGCUCUUAUCUUUUCUAGUUGGACAAGUUGAAAAAAAUUUUCAUUUUACCGUUAUUAAAAUCUCCCAUCAGCAACCAGGAAGCUUCAGAGGAAUAAAUUUGGUUCAAAUUUAAUUAUGGGAUUUCAGUUCAAAUCUGAUUCCAGUCUAUUCAUAAAGGAUUAUAAUAUAAUUAGUUAUAAAUUAAGAUGAGUGAUAAAGCUUUAAUGGAGCUGGAUUGAACUGGACUGCUUGUAAUCUGCAGUGAUGCAGCUGGAUAUGAGAUGAUGUGAGCUUUAGCUUCAUGUUUUCAGGAUAAAUAAUAUCAAAGCUUGAACACUUAUUUUAUUUGACUUAAGCAAUAUUUUUUUGACCCAAAUGAAACGUCUAUCUGCACUGAAUUCGGCUUAAUGUACAACAGAUUAAACUCACAAACAAAACCUCCGAAUGAUUCAUUCAUGCAGCUUUGCAUCGUCAGAGAUCUCCUGCCUACAAAAACAAGCCUCUGAAACUGAAAACCUCUUGGAACAGAAAUGUUUUACCUUUUCAUACUAACUGUCUUAUCAGAGUUCAGUGAAUCCAUUUCAAAUUGAUCUCAAGAUGAAAGCUUUGUUUAUUCAGAGAAAUGUGAAGGAAAUCUUCACAAUGAGUCACAUUAAUGCCACUCUGAUAAACUCAAAAGAAUAAAGUAAAAUAUUUAUA
This is a long non-coding RNA of Xiphophorus hellerii (green swordtail), 1540 nucleotides long. RefSeq lists it as uncharacterized. The transcript has 2 exons. The record is from RefSeq and is a predicted model, not a curated record. Lineage: Eukaryota; Metazoa; Chordata; Actinopteri; Cyprinodontiformes; Poeciliidae.